This 1809-nucleotide ribosomal RNA is filed under the name Klebsiella pneumoniae. Its description in RNAcentral is "partial 23S ribosomal RNA". It matches the Rfam family "Bacterial large subunit ribosomal RNA", at positions 419 to 2215 of the family's 2925-position model. Lineage: Bacteria; Pseudomonadati; Pseudomonadota; Gammaproteobacteria; Enterobacterales; Enterobacteriaceae. The record is from RNAcentral.
GGGACACGUGGUAUCCUGUCUGAAUAUGGGGGGACCAUCCUCCAAGGCUAAAUACUCCUGACUGACCGAUAGUGAACCAGUACCGUGAGGGAAAGGCGAAAAGAACCCCGGCGAGGGGAGUGAAAAAGAACCUGAAACCGUGUACGUACAAGCAGUGGGAGCACCUUCGGGUGUGACUGCGUACCUUUUGUAUAAUGGGUCAGCGACUUAUAUUCUGUAGCAAGGUUAACCGUAUAGGGGAGCCGCAGGGAAACCGAGUCUUAACUGGGCGUUAAGUUGCAGGGUAUAGACCCGAAACCCGGUGAUCUAGCCAUGGGCAGGUUGAAGGUUGGGUAACACUAACUGGAGGACCGAACCGACUAAUGUUGAAAAAUUAGCGGAUGACUUGUGGCUGGGGGUGAAAGGCCAAUCAAACCGGGAGAUAGCUGGUUCUCCCCGAAAGCUAUUUAGGUAGCGCCUCGUGAACUCAUCUUCGGGGGUAGAGCACUGUUUCGGCUAGGGGGUCAUCCCGACUUACCAACCCGAUGCAAACUACGAAUACCGAAGAAUGUUAUCACGGGAGACACACGGCGGGUGCUAACGUCCGUCGUGAAGAGGGAAACAACCCAGACCGCCAGCUAAGGUCCCAAAGUCAUGGUUAAGUGGGAAACGAUGUGGGAAGGCACAGACAGCCAGGAUGUUGGCUUAGAAGCAGCCAUCAUUUAAAGAAAGCGUAAUAGCUCACUGGUCGAGUCGGCCUGCGCGGAAGAUGUAACGGGGCUAAACCAUGCACCGAAGCUGCGGCAGCGACACUAUGUGUUGUUGGGUAGGGGAGCGUUCUGUAAGCCUGCGAAGGUGACCUGUGAGGGUUGCUGGAGGUAUCAGAAGUGCGAAUGCUGACAUAAGUAACGAUAAAGCGGGUGAAAAGCCCGCUCGCCGGAAGACCAAGGGUUCCUGUCCAACGUUAAUCGGGGCAGGGUGAGUCGACCCCUAAGGCGAGGCCGAAAGGCGUAGUCGAUGGGAAACAGGUUAAUAUUCCUGUACUUGGUGUUACUGCGAAGGGGGGACGGAGAAGGCUAUGUUAGCCGGGCGACGGUUGUCCCGGUUUAAGCAUGUAGGCUGAUUAUCCAGGCAAAUCCGGAUAAUCAAGGCUGAGGUGUGAUGACGAGGCACUACGGUGCUGAAGUAACAAAUGCCCUGCUUCCAGGAAAAGCCUCUAAGCAUCAGGUAACAUCAAAUCGUACCCCAAACCGACACAGGUGGUCAGGUAGAGAAUACCAAGGCGCUUGAGAGAACUCGGGUGAAGGAACUAGGCAAAAUGGUGCCGUAACUUCGGGAGAAGGCACGCUGGUGUGUAGGUGAAGUCCCUGCGGAUGGAGCUGAGACCAGUCGAAGAUACCAGCUGGCUGCAACUGUUUAUUAAAAACACAGCACUGUGCAAACACGAAAGUGGACGUAUACGGUGUGACGCCUGCCCGGUGCCGGAAGGUUAAUUGAUGGGGUUAUCCGUAAGGAGAAGCUCUUGAUCGAAGCCCCGGUAAACGGCGGCCGUAACUAUAACGGUCCUAAGGUAGCGAAAUUCCUUGUCGGGUAAGUUCCGACCUGCACGAAUGGCGUAAUGAUGGCCAGGCUGUCUCCACCCGAGACUCAGUGAAAUUGAACUCGCUGUGAAGAUGCAGUGUACCCGCGGCAAGACGGAAAGACCCCGUGAACCUUUACUAUAGCUUGACACUGAACAUUGAGCCUUGAUGUGUAGGAUAGGUGGGAGGCUUUGAAGCGUGGACGCCAGUCUGCGUGGAGCCAACCUUGAAAUACCACCCUUUAAUGUUU